Tripterygium wilfordii is the source of this 1775-nucleotide long non-coding RNA. RefSeq lists it as uncharacterized. The record is from RefSeq and is a predicted model, not a curated record. The transcript is spliced from 2 exons. NCBI's taxonomy places the organism in Eukaryota, Viridiplantae, Streptophyta, Magnoliopsida, Celastrales, Celastraceae.
CUAAAAUUCAAAAGCCCGUUUUUGGACCCACAAGCCUAUAAAACUCAUUUCCUUGGCUCAUGAACACACAAAUAUUCAUAAUUCAUUUCUUUGAUCCAUGAGUCCACAAGUACUCAAAAUUUUAGUCCAGCCCACCAAUGAAUCAAAACUCUAGAAACUAUUUAGGAAUAAAAGGAAACAAAAAAAUAAAAUAAAAUAAAGUUAAGAAAAGACAAAACAAUGGGUAGGAGAGGGAGGUGGCGUGACAGAAGAAAAGAAAGGACAAGGGGGGAGAAAAAAAAGGAGAAAAGAGUGGAGAUGGCGUGUGGGAAAGGGGGUAGAGUGUAGGAGAGGUUUUGGUUUUUGGGGAAGGGGGAAAGAGAAGGAAGGGCAGUGGCAUAAGACAGAAAAAAGAGGGAGAGCAGAGCGGUCGAGUGAGAGAAAAAAAAAGGGCAGAAGAAAAGAAACAAAGACAAAAAAAGAAGAAAAAGGUCGUAGGGAGGUGAGCAAAAAACAGAGAGAGAGGGGUGGGGCAACCGGCAGAAGAAAGGAAACAAAAAGAAGGAGAAAUCAGGGCCAAAGAAAAAGAACAGAGCAAAACAGAAGGGUUUUGGUGAAGAAAGGGGAACCGUUGGGAGAAGAAGACCGACGGAAGGAACUAAGAUAUAAACCGGGAUUCAUCUCCUAAGAAGGUAAUCCAUCCCUCUGAAUAGGAUUUCAUUUCUUUGUCAUGCCUUGAUUCUAGUUUGUACUGGUUGGCUUCCAUAUCUGUGACAGUAUAAAAGCUUGCCCAUAUGGUCAUCUUUCCUCAAACUCUAUGUUUCUGAUGAUACUUGUGAAUCCAUUUCUGCAAGUUUCUGGAAAUAUACCUGUUAUGCCCAUGUGUGUGUAGUUCUAUGUCAUUAUGCUUAGUUCGGGUUCAUAUUGUGAGUACGUGCGUAUGUGCUUGUUAUCUGGUGAUGAUGAAUGAUUGAAACUCUGUCUCCUGUACGUGAUAUACUAAUUUGAGUUUGAUUUUAACUUGUCCGAGCGUUGCUAGAGUAUCUAUGGUUUAUUUUGAAUGAAAUAUGGUCUUUGUUAUUCCUUGAUUUGAGCAUGUAUAUGUCUAUGUAUAUAUACAUAUGGGUUUGUUUGUGUCCGUGUAUAUAUACAUAUAUAUUGUGGGUGGAUGUAUGAAUUUGUUUGUUUGUGUGUGUAUAUAUGUACCGUGUGGGUAUAUACGCAGUGGGUUUGCGUGUAUAUGUGUGUAUGUGUUUGUAUAUGUGUGCCAGUUUAUAUAUGCAUUUGUAUAUAAUGUUUAUAAUGCAUAGGAGUAUAUGGACUUGAUUUAAUUUGAGUUUCUAUGGCAUUUGAACACAAUUUUGACCCUAUUCUCUUAUUUGAUUUUGGACAUUGACCGGGCUGGACACCAUGAGGGACGGAGGCCACACUUGGAAGACUUGGAUCAAAUUUGAACAACGGGUCCCAUGGAAAGCUAGCGUAUAAAAGCAAUUAAGCUUAAAGCAUCGACGUAAUGGAUAUUAUUUAAACGGAAACAAUCCUGCUAUGAGAUCAAUAAAGGCUUUUGCUGAUUCAACCUCUCUUUCAAAAAGACAUCUCAUCCAAGCAAGAUGAAGGAAACACAACGACGAGUCUUCAAGAAGAAGAAUAGAGAGGGAGAGAAUAAAUGACUUUUGUUAUUGGUAAUAUUGCUUCUUGAGCUAGAAAACAAAAUUCCAUGUUUGGAAGAGAGGAUAAGGUUCCUAUAAUGUAAAAUUAUCCUUUAAUGAAACUACCAGAAAUUUGGAUGGUUUUUA